Molecule: small nuclear RNA, 23 nt
Filed under: Arabidopsis thaliana (thale cress)
Lineage: Eukaryota; Viridiplantae; Streptophyta; Magnoliopsida; Brassicales; Brassicaceae
Description: snRNA_06283
Source: RNAcentral
UGUACUACAGAGAGGACUCUAGA